RNAcentral lists this ribosomal RNA (497 nucleotides) under uncultured bacterium. RNAcentral's name for it is "partial 16S ribosomal RNA". It matches the Rfam family "Bacterial small subunit ribosomal RNA", at positions 28 to 507 of the family's 1533-position model. The record is from RNAcentral.
GAUGAACGCUGGCGGCGUGCCUAACACAUGCAAGUCGAGCGAACAGACGAGAAGAUCGUUCUUUUGACGUUAGCGGCGGACGGGCGGGUAACGAGUGGAUAACAAUCCUAUUAGUCUGGGAGAAUUUCGGGGAAAAGGUGAUAAUAAUAGAUAAUAUAAUGAACCGCUGAAAGCAAUAGUUCAACAUGCUUUGCCUGUCUCAUAUAGCUGGUUCCGCGUCGCAUUAGCUAGUUGGUAAGGGCACGGCUUACCAAGGAAACGAUGCGUAGCCGACCUGAGAGGAUGAUCAGCCACACUGGAACUGAGACACGGUCCAGACUCCUACGGGAGGCAGCAGUGGGGAAUAUUGCGCAAUGGGCGCAAGCCUGAUGGAGCCACACCGCGUGGGUGAUGAAGGUCUUCGGAUCGUAAAGCUCUUUUAUUAGGAAAGAACAGAUGUGGAUGUAUCUCCGCACGUUCUGACGGUACCCAAAGAGUAAGCACCGGCUAACUUCGUG